RNAcentral lists this unclassified non-coding RNA (210 nucleotides) under Hevea brasiliensis (rubber tree). Lineage: Eukaryota; Viridiplantae; Streptophyta; Magnoliopsida; Malpighiales; Euphorbiaceae. The record is from RNAcentral.
UGAUAAGUUAGAGUGGGAGUUUGAGGGGGACAUGCUUGCUGCCUUUGGUAAGGAUCCUGAAUUAUGUAUGAAGGCGGUUUGUGUUUUGUAUAGGCAGCAAACAUCUGAGGAGCAAUGUUGUAAAGGAACAAUAGAUCACAAUCAAAGAGGUUUUAGCCACUGUGAUGCCUUCAGGGGAAGUACCUUGGCUGAAUUUCUUACUGAUGGAGA